GACGAACGCUGGCGGCGUGCUUAACACAUGCAAGUCGAGCGGUAAGGCCCUUUCGGGGGUACACGAGCGGCGAACGGGUGAGUAACACGUGGGUGACCUGCCCUCAGCUCUGGGAUAAGCCUGGGAAACCGGGUCUAAUACCGGGAUAUGACUCCAUGACGCAUGUUGUGGGGUGGAAAGCCUUGUGCGGCUGAGGAUGGGCCCGCGGCCUAUCAGCUUGUUGGUGGGGUGAUGGCCUACCAAGGCGACGACGGGUAGCCGGCCUGAGAGGGCGACCGGCCACACUGGGACUGAGACACGGCCCAGACUCCUACGGGAGGCAGCAGGUGGGGAAUCUUGCGCAAUGGGCGAAAGCCUGACGCAGCGACGCCGCGUGAGGGAUGACGGCCUGGUU
Molecule: ribosomal RNA, 394 nt
Filed under: uncultured bacterium
Lineage: Bacteria
Description: bacterial SSU rRNA
Rfam family: Bacterial small subunit ribosomal RNA
Source: RNAcentral